Long non-coding RNA from Lagopus leucura (white-tailed ptarmigan), 718 nucleotides. RefSeq lists it as uncharacterized. NCBI's taxonomy places the organism in Eukaryota, Metazoa, Chordata, Aves, Galliformes, Phasianidae. The transcript is spliced from 3 exons. The record is from RefSeq and is a predicted model, not a curated record.
GAACAAAUAACUAAAUGGUGCUGCUCUGAUUCUUUAUGAUACAUGCUCCACGGUUGAGCUCAGGCUGGAUCUCUUGAUCUUCUCAACCCAUUCUGUUGUAGAAACAGCUGUCACCAUCUUUCCCAAAAUCACAAGGACCAGCAUCCUUCAUGCUUGCAGUCCAUGGGUAAAGAUCCCAACAAGCUGAAUUCUGUGGCACCAGCACCGUGUCCUCAUGUGCUGCUUUCAAAAGCCUCACUGGCUCAUGUAUCCAUGAGGUGUGGAUGGAUGUAUGGCAUUCCUGGAGACAAGCAGUAUCCUCUUUCCUCACUGCAUGUAAUUCUUUCAGGAUCCCCAGGCCAUUCUGCAUACUUACAGUCCCAACAAGGAGGAGGAAAAUCUCUGAAGAGCUUCAGUUUCUAAAGUCUCCUGCUCAAAGAUGCGCUGUCUUCUCCUGCUGCCCCAAAUAACAUCGAUCAUCAUCCAAAGCCUGAAUCAUCUCAGCUGUUAUCCAGUGAAAAAAUGUCUUCGUAACUGGGCGAUCAAAAACAUCACCAUAUUGCGGAAGUGGCAAUGUGUGAGCUUUCUGUCAAGCUGUGGAGGGUCUUGCAUGACUAUUAAAGGCUGCCUUAUCCUUCCAUCAUGUGCUAGACACUGCACCCAUCAUCCUUUCCCUUCCCUUCCCUUCCCUUCCCUUCCCUUCCCUUCCCUUCCCUUCCCUUCCCUUCCCUUCCCUUCC